RNAcentral lists this ribosomal RNA (405 nucleotides) under uncultured bacterium. RNAcentral's name for it is "partial 16S ribosomal RNA". It matches the Rfam family "Bacterial small subunit ribosomal RNA", at positions 30 to 526 of the family's 1533-position model. The record is from RNAcentral.
AUUGAACGCUGGCGGCAGGCUUAACACAUGCAAGUCGAACUAGUGUCGGACGGGUGAGUAAUGUUUGGGAAUCUGUCUUAUGGAGGGUGAUAACGACGGGCAACUGUCGCUAAUACCGCGUACCAUUGGAUGAGCCCCAGUGGGAUUGGGUAGUUUGUGGGGUAAUGGCCUACCAAGCCGACGAUCCCUAGCUGGUGUGAGAGGAUGACCAGCCAAAGCGGGACUGAUAAACGGCCAGGACGCCAACGGGAGGCAGCAGUGGGGAAUAGUGCGCAAUGGGGGCAACCUGACGCAGCCAUGCCGCGUGAAUGAAGAAGGCCUUCGGGUUGUAAAGUUCGUUCGGUGACGAGUCGUUAAUCACAGAAGAAGCACCGGCUAACUCCGUGCCAGCCGCCGCGGUAAUAC